UGGGGAAUUUUGGACAAUGGGCGAAAGCCUGAUCCAGCCAUGCCGCGUGAGUGAAGAAGGCCUUCGGGUUGUAAAGCUCUUUUAGUCGGAAAGAAAGAGUUGCAAUGAAUAAUUGUGAUUUAUGACGGUACCGACAGAAAAAGCACCGGCUAACUACGUGCCAGCAGCCGCGGUAAUACGUAGGGUGCGAGCGUUAAUCGGAAUUACUGGGCGUAAAGGGUGCGCAGGCGGUCUUGCAAGUCAGAUGUGAAAGCCCCGGGCUUAACCUGGGAAUUGCGUUUGAAACUACAGGACUAGAGUGCAGCAGAGGGGAGUGGAAUUCCAUGUGUAGCAGUGAAAUGCGUAGAGAUGUGGAAGAACACCGAUGGCGAAGGCAGCUCCCUGGGUUGACACUGACGCUCAUGCACGAAAGCGUGGGGAGCAAACA
RNAcentral lists this ribosomal RNA (427 nucleotides) under uncultured beta proteobacterium. Its description in RNAcentral is "bacterial SSU rRNA". It matches the Rfam family "Bacterial small subunit ribosomal RNA", at positions 355 to 774 of the family's 1533-position model. The record is from RNAcentral. Lineage: Bacteria; Pseudomonadati; Pseudomonadota; Betaproteobacteria.